UGAUGGCGCCUAUCACAUUACUAGGCAAGCCAACCCAAACGUUUAAUCACAACUCUUUUUCUUUUAAUAAGUCAUUUUCUAACACGGAUUUAAAUACCAAAUUUCCAUAAUAAGUGUAUAAAACCACUAAAUGUGCGGAAUUUAAUAAAGACAGUAAACCAACACAGCCCCAAAUAUCUAGUGUCACGAGUCUAUAGCCUCUAAUACAUAGCUGACUAUCUAAUACAUCAUAAGUCUAGAAAAUACGGAAAAGAAAAAGAUAGGAAGGAGAAAACAGGACUGCGGACGCCAUGCAACUACCUUGCAAUCUCCGGCAACUCUAGAUCAGCUGAGGACCCUCACCCUGCCUCUCGGGCACCUGGAUCUACACACAAGGUGCAGGGAGUAAUGUGAGUAUGUCAACUCAGUAAGUAACUAGAGUAAAUAACGUCUGAAAGCAGCGACGAAUAGUUAAAAAUCAUAUAAAUGAAUAAACAACAGGAUAAUAGAUCAAACUUUACAGUUUUAAACCAGUUUCAUCGUAAAAUCAUCAGUUUCAGUUUAAAUACUUGAAAUCAUAUACUUAGCAAUUUCUUACGACAUAGGCUUAUUUGAAAAGAAGAGUGAAAUCAGUGAAAAAUAUCAUAACUGGGCCUCGCGGGCAAGGUAUCACUCAGAAUAUGACCUCUCGGGCAGCCUCUCAGUCACUUGUGACUCAACUCUCGUCACUGAGUACUCACUCUCGGCAUUAAGGCUCAUUAAUAUCUCAUAGUAAUAGAAAUCAUAGUAACCGCUGCGGCGUGCAGCUCGAUCCAUGGUUUAUAGUCGACUACGCUCACUAGCGGUGUACAAACUCUGGAGGGGCUCCUAUAGCCCAAGCGUUUGCGGCGUGCAGCCCAAGCAUAUAUAUAUAUAUAUAUAUAUAUCGUUGCGGCGUGCAGCCCGAUCCAUAUAAGUAUUAUAUAUAAAUAUCCUCACCAUUAGGUUCUCAACCUCUCUCAGUCAUUAACUUCACAGCCUCUCAAGCAGAACAGUAGAAAUUAGGAAACUCAGUCCAAAUAGUCCUCACAUUUAGAAGUAGAGUGAUAAAAGUUUUUAACAUUUAAACAGGUAAAACAUGAAUGGGAAUAUGCUUUCAACAAGUAGAGUGAGGAAAAACAGUAAAAAUGCCCCUAAGGGUCUCAACAAGUCGGCACAAGGCCCCAAACAUGGCAUACAACCCAUAUUAUGGUACAAAUGACUAAGGUACAGAAUAUCAUAAGGUUUCAAAUCAAAAUACGCGGCUUAAUAGUCGUUAUGGGACGGACCAAGUCACAAUCCCUACCGGUGCGCGCCCACACGCUCGUCACUUAGCAUGUGUGUCACCGUAUUUAUCAAACAAGUCAAAUACCGGGGUUUUGUACCCUUAGUUCAAGAUUUACAAUGGUUACUUACCUCAAACUGGUGAAAAUACUACUCCGCGACGCCUUUGCCCCUCGAAUCGGCUUCCACUCGCAUCGAAUCUAUCCAAAAUCAGAAUCACGACGUCAAAAUAUGCUAAGGGAAUGAAGCCCAAGCAAAAAUAAUCAAAUUAUACCCAAAAUCCCGAAAUUGGCCAAACCCGCCCCCAGGCCCGCAUCUCGAAACUCGAUAAAAAUCACAUCACUGAAAUCCUUACCCUCCCACGAGUCCAUAUAUACCAAGAACACUGAAAUCGGAGUCUAAAUGACCCAUCAAAUUCUCAUUUAAAAGUCCCUUAAUCUCAAGCCCUAAUUCCCCAAUUUUAGGCUUAGAUUGAAUGAUUUAUUAGGUAGAUUUCACAUUAGAAUCAAGUUUUAAGUCCAAAAUUCUGACCUCCAAGUGAUUCCCCUUGAAUCCCUCUUCAAUCUCCUUAAAAGAGCUUCAAAAACGACCAACAAUGGAAGAAAUAUACCCCAAAUUCGCAGACAAGACGACUAUUUAAACCUUCCACCCAGGCCUGAAAUCCUUCUCCGCGAACGCGGUCAAAGCCUCACGUUCGCGAAGCACAAAAAUUCCAUUGACCAAAACUCUUCUUCGCGAACGCGAUGGCACCAGCGCGAACGCGAUGCUUCCCAUUCCGACCCUUCGUGAAUGCGGGACUCCCCCUCGCGAACGUGAAGACCAAACCUGAUGCCUCCCCUCCUGAAUCUUCGCGAACGCGAGGGUCCACUCGCGAACGCGAAGAACAAAAUACCUGCAACAGCUGAAACCAAAAUUUGCAACUUUUCUUUAACUUAAAAUUAUCCAUUCAACCCUUCGAAACUCACCCGAGGCCCCCGGAACCUCAACCAAAGGCACCAACAUAUCUUAAAACCUUAUUCAAACUUGUACCAACCUUCAAAACACCUCAAACAACAUCAAAUCAACCAAAAUACAUCGGAUUCAAGCCUAAGUUUCCAAAAUCUUCCGAGUUCCCCUUUUGAUCGAAAAUCCAACCAAACCACGUCCGAAUGACCUGAAAUAUUGCACACACAUCCCAAAUGACACAAAGGAACUACUACACCUCUCGGAAUUCCAUUCCGACCCCUAUAUCAAAAUCUCACCUACCAAUCGAAAAUCGCCAAAAAUCCAAUUUCGCCAAUUCAAGCCUAAGUCUACUUCGGACCUCCAAAACUCAUUCUGAUCACGCUCCCAAGUCCAAAUCACCUCCCCAAGAUAUCCGAGCCAUCAGAACUCACAUCGGAGCCCUCUAACACAUAAGUCAACAAUCGAUUGACUUUUCCAACUUAAGCUUCCUCAAAAGAGACUAAGUGUCUCAAACCUUACCAAAUCCUUUCCGAACUCAAACUAAUCAACCCGAUCACAUAUAGAACCACUAGAAAAAGUAAUAAGAAGCAGAAAUGGGAGAAACGGAGCGGUAACUCAUGAGAUGACUGACAGGGUCGUCAUAAUAUAAAACAUUGUUAUAGACUAUGUCCAGUAUAAGAAAUGGAAUCUUAAAUUUUUUGAUCCACAACCAACUCCAUGAGGGUCUUGAUUAUACCUUCAUGACAAACUUAGGACAAUACUAUGCAGGAUUUACAGGUAAUUUGGCAAAUUGGGUACAAAUUGCCUUUUGGAACAAUGCUACACAGAUGCGGUUCAAAGAAAAUAUGUUCCACCAACUUAAAUCUAGGCCAGUUAUCAUUCUAUGUUUGUAUAUUUUGAUCCAUGUUUUCAAACUAAUACCGGGUUCAACAUUUAGCUGCUAAACAAUGACUACUAAAGACACUAAUCUCCAAAUGGAAGCAGAUGAUCUCUAAACAAACUAUAAAACUAGCAUGAAAUCAUGAAAUAAUUAUAAUGUCAUCAUAUGCAUAUGAAUGUCAAGUGAUAUGCAUAGGUCUGUAUGUACAUAACAUCAUCAAGACUCUGACGGCAUCCCAUCAUAUCAUCUCGGCCAUUGUGGGCAACUCAUCAAUAUAUACCAGCUGAUCAGGUGGUGGUGCGUAUAUAACACCAUAACUUUUUUCCAUAUCCAAUAUAAACACAUAAUAUACAUAUAUACGUGUAUAUUACACCAUCUGGUGCCACUGUGGGCAAAAUCAUCAACGAAUACCAGCUAAUCAGGUGGUGAUGCGUAUUUAACGCCAUAACCUUUCUCAUAUCCCAUAUACAUAUAUAUACAUAUAUAUACGCGUAUAUAAUGUCAUCUGGUCAUGGGUCAAUGUGCAUUUAUAAAUGCAUGAACUGCAUAUGAAAUACAUUAAUAAACUCUCUCGGUACGUUAUAAUACCAUUAUACCUCUGAUUAAUAUGAGUUACAAAUUUAAAAUAUACUUAAAUAUAUUUGAAUUAAUACUUUUAAUUAGUUAGAGCACGAAUGAGAUUGCAUCCUAUUUAUAACUUCUUAAAGAUGAUAAAACUAGUAACUCAAGGGAAAGUAAGAAAACUAUUUAUAACAUGUUAUAGUCUAAAGAUUGACUAAUGUUGGACCAAUAUUCCGCACCAAAAAAACUAAAAUAUGAAUACUUAGAAUUAAAUGGUUAUAUUAAAUUAAAAGAGAACCAUAUAUUUCUCACACCCUACAAUUUUGCAAGUAACAGACAUCAGCAAAAUUAGAAAAAAAAAAAAACUUUACUCAUAUAUAUAUUACUUUGAAUUAUGUAUCUAAUCAUGACUCAUUCUUUACUGUAGUUGAACAAUAUAUUUAAUCCGGCUAAACAAAUCUUUUGGACCCCAAGUUUUAUCGUAAACUUUUAUUUUUACUAUGCAAUACUUUAAAGUGAGUAAAUUCCAAUUACUGAAAAGGCUAACCUUAAAGUUCAAGUUCUUUUAUUUCUACUCAAACUUAAUGCUACUUCUUUUAUUAUAGAAAUUAGGAAUUUUUUUCCACUUUGAAAUAUUCUAAAAUAAAUAACAAACUCUAAAUCUAUCAUAAUUUUACAUCUUCCGAUUAUAAAAUAAACUUUACCAAAUUACGUAUUUUUGAGACCAAUAAAUAGAUAAUAUGGUAGUAGGGUGAAUCAGGAACAUAGGCAACCUUAGUAUUACUAAGAAUAGAAUUAUUUUUGAAACUUACGUGCUUGCUCGUUUCGUUGUAUCAUAUGGAUCAUACCAAAAAAAGAAGGAAAGGACAGCCUUAACAUACCCGUAAGCUCCAGUACUUGUAUCAACAACCUUCUCUUGAUUAAUAUCUAAGCUUUUUCUCAAACACUCGCACAACUUUUCCAGCGAAAACUCAAGAAAUGAUUUAGCACUCUCAAAGGUCACCCUACUGUGGUACAGAUUUCGUGAUCUUGUUAUCAUCAACCUGUCUUCCUCAUUUCCAAAUCAUCUCAAGCUAUACCAACGCCUUCCUUUUCUUUUUCCUUUUGUUUCUUGGGUGAAAGUGUUUUAUAUAUUCUUUAAUAUUGGAUACUUUGAUAUCUUGGCUCAAUACUUUUGAUUGUUAUCAGGAAUACCUUAUUUGUACUAUAAAAUAAGGGACCCAUAAAAUAAAUAUAUAGAAAAUAAUUGAAUAUCUAGAGAAGUUUGUCAAACAAAAGAGCUCCAACACAUUGAGCACACUGUCCGCUAUAACCAACACCAUUAUAGGUUCGGAAGCCUGCUACGACUAGCAGCACAAAAGCUUAACAAUAAACUAACCUUCAAGCACUAAA
RNAcentral lists this long non-coding RNA (5059 nucleotides) under Nicotiana tabacum (common tobacco). RNAcentral's name for it is "long non-coding RNA (NTAB_LNC011293)". The record is from RNAcentral. Lineage: Eukaryota; Viridiplantae; Streptophyta; Magnoliopsida; Solanales; Solanaceae.